UACGGAGGAUGCGAGCGUUAUCCGGAUUUAUUGGGUUUAAAGGGUGCGUAGGCGGCUUAGUAAGUCAGCGGUGAAAUUUUGCAGCUUAACUGUAACAGUGCCGUUGAUACUGCCAGGCUAGGAUUUGGUUGCUGUGGGUGGAAUGUGUGGUGUAGCGGUGAAAUGCUUAGAUAUCACACAGAAUAUCGAUUGCGAAGGCAUCUCACAAAGCCGUUAUUGACGCUGAGGCACGAAAGUGUGGGGAUCAAACAGGA
This 254-nucleotide ribosomal RNA is filed under the name uncultured prokaryote. Its description in RNAcentral is "partial 16S ribosomal RNA". It matches the Rfam family "Bacterial small subunit ribosomal RNA", at positions 524 to 777 of the family's 1533-position model. The record is from RNAcentral.